CCCUUAGAUGUCCUGGGCCGCACGCGCGUUACACUGAUGCAUUCAACGAGCAUAUAACCUUGGCCGAGAGGCCUGGGUAAUCUUGUUAACAUGCAUCGUGAUAGGGAUAGAUUAUUGCAAUUAUUAAUCUUGAACGAGGAAUUCCUAGUAAUCGCAGUUCAUCAAACUGCAAUGAUUACGUCCCUGCCCUUUGUACACACCGCCCGUCGCGCCUACCGAUUGAAUGGUCCGGUGAGGACUCGGGAUUGUGGUUUAGCUCCUUCAUUGGGGCCUGACUGCGAGAACUUGUCCGAACCUUAUCAUUUAGAGGAAGGUGAAGUCGUAACA
RNAcentral lists this ribosomal RNA (327 nucleotides) under uncultured eukaryote. Its description in RNAcentral is "partial 18S ribosomal RNA". It matches the Rfam family "Eukaryotic small subunit ribosomal RNA", at positions 1470 to 1796 of the family's 1831-position model. The record is from RNAcentral.